UUGAAGGCACAUAAAUUAUGGUCGAA
RNAcentral lists this small RNA (26 nucleotides) under Bombyx mori (domestic silkworm). RNAcentral's name for it is "ovarian small RNA-37630". Lineage: Eukaryota; Metazoa; Arthropoda; Insecta; Lepidoptera; Bombycidae. The record is from RNAcentral.